RNAcentral lists this ribosomal RNA (492 nucleotides) under uncultured bacterium. RNAcentral describes it as "partial 16S ribosomal RNA". It matches the Rfam family "Bacterial small subunit ribosomal RNA", at positions 29 to 507 of the family's 1533-position model. The record is from RNAcentral.
AGUGAACGCUGGCGGUAGGCCUAACACAUGCAAGUCGAACGGCAGCACAGUAAGAGCUUGCUCUUACGGGUGGCGAGUGGCGGACGGGUGAGGAAUACAUCGGAAUCUACUUUUUCGUGGGGGAUCACGUAGGGAAACUUACGCUAAUACCGCAUACGACCUACGGGUGAAAGCAUGGGAUCUUCGGACCUUGCGCGAUUGAAUGAGCCGAUGUCGGAUUAGCUAGUUGGCGGGGUAAAGGCCCACCAAGUCGACGAUCCGUAGCUGGUCUGAGAGGAGGGUCGGCCACACGAGAACGUAGACACGGUCCAGAGGACUAAGGGAGGCAGCAGUGGGGAAUAUUGGGCAAUGGGCGGAAGUCUGAUCCAGCGAUACCGCGUGGGUGAAGAAGGCCUUCGGGUUGGAAAGCCCUUUUGUUGGGAAAGAAAAGCAGCAGGUUAAUACCACGCUGUUCUGACGGUAACCAAAGAAUAAGCGCCGGCUAACUUCGUG